CCCAUUCUACGUUCGCUGGCACUAUGUAAGGGAAAGACCAGGACCCAUUCUACGUUCUGGCACAGUUGGACACUGUUAUGUUAUGAUAUGUAAGGGAAAGACCAGGACCCAUUCUACGUUCUGGCACAGUUGGACUAUGUAGAGGGCUAUUGGUGACAAGUUCAUCCUUGACGUGAUUAGCUGUGAUGUGAUGCAUUCCAUGAUCCAUAUGAUUUAAAUGUUUUUAUUAUUCUGCUCACU
This 240-nucleotide long non-coding RNA is filed under the name Manihot esculenta (cassava). Its description in RNAcentral is "long non-coding RNA (MESC_LNC000198)". The record is from RNAcentral. Lineage: Eukaryota; Viridiplantae; Streptophyta; Magnoliopsida; Malpighiales; Euphorbiaceae.